RNAcentral lists this ribosomal RNA (407 nucleotides) under uncultured bacterium. Its description in RNAcentral is "partial 16S ribosomal RNA". It matches the Rfam family "Bacterial small subunit ribosomal RNA", at positions 30 to 526 of the family's 1533-position model. The record is from RNAcentral.
AUUGAACGCUGGCGGCAGGCCUAACACAUGCAAGUCGAGCGGAGCGGCGGACGGGUGCGUAAGGCCUAGGAAUCUGCCUGGUAGUGGGGGAUAACGUCCGGUAACGGGCGCUAAUACCGAAUACUAUCAGGCGAGCCUAGGUCGGAUUAGGUAGUUGGUGGGGUAAAGGCCUACCAAGGCGACGAUCCGUAACUGGUCUGAGAGGGUGAUCAGUCACACGGGAACUGAGACACGGUCCAGACGCCUACGGAAGGCAGCAGUGGGGAAGAUUGGACAAUGGGCGAAAGCCUGAUACAGCCAUGCCGCGUGUGUGAAGAAGGUCUUCGGAUUGUAAAGCACUUUAAGUUGGGAGGCGUUACCAACAGAAGAAGCACCGGCUAACUUCGUGCCAGCAGCCGCGGUAAUAC